RNAcentral lists this long non-coding RNA (1361 nucleotides) under Felis catus (domestic cat). RNAcentral's name for it is "lncRNA (ENSFCAG00000053013.1)". Lineage: Eukaryota; Metazoa; Chordata; Mammalia; Carnivora; Felidae. The record is from RNAcentral.
AAGCACACAAUAUAUUCCUAGGAGAAUUGUUGUGUCAUAGAAUAUGAGUGUCUCAGCUUUAUUGAUAAUGCAAACUAAGUUCCAAAGUGGUUAUGCCAACUUACACUGUUACUAGAAGUGUAUGAGAGCUCCUGUUGCUUCUUAUCCUGACCAACCUCAAAUUUUUCUAAUUUUCAAAAAUCUGGUAUGUAUACAUUGGUAUCCCACUAGUCUAAAUAACCCUAAUUAGGAAGGAAGCUGAAUACUUUUUUCAUAUAUUUUAUCAACCAUUUAGAUAUCCCUUAUUAUGAAAUGGUGAAAUGCCCUUCACUUUUCUUGCCCUUUUUUCUAUAGGGUAGUCUUUUUUUUUAAGAAGUUCUUUAUUCUGGAUACUAGUAUGUACUUGAUUGAUGUUACAGGUUGCAAAAAUCUUCUAUUCUGUGCCUUUUCUUUUUGUACUGUCUUUUGACACUUUAAAAAAAAAAAUUUUUAGGACAGCCUCUUGAUCAGAAGGGAGCCUAAAGGCCCACCCUUGGAGAGAAAGGCCAUCAUGAAGGGUAAAGCCUCCAAGCGGGGAGAGAACAGCAUUGGAGCUGGUACCAAGCGUGCCACGAAGCUGGCCGUGUGCUCAGCAAGUACUGGCAGAGCCUGGAGUGAUGAGUGGGGUGGCUUUCUCAGGUAGUGGAGCAGAAAAGAUAGCUGUUUGCUAAAAAUUAUUAUCCCAGAGCACCCCCUUAUGGCAAACACACUAAUGCAAGUGCUUCUGUAGGAAAAGUAAAAAAAAGUGUUUCAAACCUUCAGUAUACAGAGGUAAAUAUUGCUUUUCCACUCUUAAGAUCUUCAUUUUUCUUUCUUUUCUUUUUUUUUUAAUUUUUUUAAUGUUUAUUUAUUUUUGAGAGAGACAGAGACAGAAUGCGAGUGGGUUAGGGACAGAGAGAGAGGGGGACACAGACUCCAAAGCAGGCUCCAGGCUCUGAGCUGUCAGCACAGAGCCCAACGCGGGGCUCGAACUCAGGAGCUGUGAGAUCACGACCUGAGCCGAAGCGGAGCUGAAGUCAGACGCUCAACCGACUGAGCCACCCACGUGCCCCUCUUUUUUUUUUUUUUUAAUAUAAGCUCUAUGUCCAGUGUGGGACUUGAACUCACAACCCCAAGACCAAGAGUCACAUGAACUACUGACUGAGACAGCCAGGUCCCCCUUUUCUUUAUUUUUGUUGGGAAAUUAGAAAUCAUCUUGCCACUCAAAAGAACAGUCUCAUUUCACUUCAUAGAUAGAUUUAUUUACUACUUCAAAAAUAAUUUCUUUCAUGCUAGAACAUGGAAUCCUAUACUUUAGAUUCACCCAAUAAUGGCAAACCUAAAUUAACCCAGUUUUUAUACUU